UGGGGAAUAUUGCACAAUGGAGGGAACUCUGAUGCAGCGACGCCGCGUGAACGAAGGAGGCUUUCGAGUCGUAAAGUUCUUUUAUAUGGGAAGAUAAUGACGGUACCAUAAGAAAAAGCCCCGGCUAACUACGUGCCAGCAGCCGCGGUAAUACGUAGGGGGCUAGCGUUGUCCGGAAUCACUGGGCGUAAAGGGUUCGCAGGCGGAAAUGCAAGUCAGGUGUAAAAGGCAGUAGCUUAACUACUGUAAGCAUUUGAAACUGCAUAUCUUGAGAAGAGUAGAGGUAAGUGGAAUUUUUAGUGUAGCGGUGAAAUGCGUAGAUAUUAAAAAGAAUACCGGUGGCGAAGGCGACUUACUGGGCUCAUUCUGACGCUGAGGAACGAAAGCGUGGGUAGCAAACAGG
This 403-nucleotide ribosomal RNA is filed under the name bacterium. Its description in RNAcentral is "partial 16S ribosomal RNA". It matches the Rfam family "Bacterial small subunit ribosomal RNA", at positions 355 to 776 of the family's 1533-position model. The record is from RNAcentral. RNAcentral also lists the same sequence under 1 other name.